UGAGCUUCGGAGACCUUGCAACCCCACGGGGAGGUAGCACGACGGUAAAUAAAGCUGACCGCUUGCAAGUUGGCCGCACGGCUAGCAACACAAUCGAACUGACGGGGAACUCCUAAAGCCUACAGCACCAACCGUCCGGGGAAACUCGGGUGGGGCCCUCACGGGAUGGUAACAGCGUGUAGGAUAUAUGGACAAUCCGCAGCGGAGCUCCUAACGGCGAGAGCCCACGGGGAACGUUCACAGACUAAGUGAUUGUGGGCCAGGCUUGAAGCCUAGUCUAAGAUAUAGUCGGUCCCCGCCCGAAAGGACGGGGGAACAGCGUCCGUAGGUGAACCUGCGGAAGGAUCAUUACAGAGUUCAUGCCCUCACGGGUAGAUCUCCCACCCUUGCAUACAUACCUUUGUUGCCUUGGCGGGCCACGUCCGCGUGUCGGCUCCGGCUGGCUGCGCCCGCCAGAGGACCCAAACUCGUUUGUUUAGUGAUGUCUGAGUACUAUAUAAUAGUUAAAACUUUCAACAACGGAUCUCUUGGUUCUGGCAUCGAUGAAGAACGCAGCGAAAUGCGAUAAGUAAUGUGAAUUGCAGAAUUUAGUGAAUCAUCGAAUCUUUGAACGCACAUUGCGCCUCUUGGUAUUCCGAGGGGCAUGCCUGUCCGAGCGUCAUUAUGACCACUCAAGCCUGGCUUGGUGUUGGGGCUCGCGGUUCCGCGGCCCUUCAAAUCAGUGGCGGCGCCGUCCGGCUCUCAGCGUAGUAAUACUCCUCGCUACAGAGCCCGGGUGGAUGCUUGCCAGCAACCCCCAAUCUCACGGUUGACCUCGGAUCAGGUAGGGAUACCCGCUGAACUUAAGCAUAUCAAUAAGCGGAGGAAAAGAAACCAACAGGGAUUGCCUCAGUAACGGCGAGUGAAGCGGCAACAGCUCAAAUUUGAAAUCUGGCUCCCUCGGGGCCCGAGUUGUAAUUUGUAGAAGAUGCUUUGAGCGUGGCCCCGGUCUAAGUUCCUUGGAACAGGACGUCAUAGAGGGUGAGAAUCCCGUAUGUGACUGGGGCGCCUUCGUUCGUGUAAAGCUCUCUCGACGAGUCGAGUUGUUUGGGAAUGCAGCUCAAAAUGGGUGGUAAAUUUCAUCUAAAGCUAAAUAUUGGCCAGAGACCGAUAGCGCACAAGUAGAGUGAUCGAAAGAUGAAAAGCACUUUGGAAAGAGAGUUAAACAGUACGUGAAAUUGUUGAAAGGGAAGCGCUUGCAACCAGACUUGCACGCUGUUGAUCAUCCGAGGUUUUCCCCGGUGCACUCGGCAGCGCUCAGGCCAGCAUCGGUCUUGGUGGGCGGAUAAAGGCCUUGGGAAUGUAGCUUCUCUCGGGGAGUGUUAUAGCCCUCGGUGCAAUGCGCCCUACCGGGAUCGAGGACCGCGCUUCGGCUAGGA
This 1418-nucleotide ribosomal RNA is filed under the name Helotiales sp. EF823. Its description in RNAcentral is "eukaryotic LSU rRNA". The stretch from base 810 to 1418 matches the Rfam family "Eukaryotic large subunit ribosomal RNA", at positions 1 to 611 of the family's 3401-position model. Lineage: Eukaryota; Fungi; Ascomycota; Leotiomycetes; Helotiales. The record is from RNAcentral.